UCUUCAGUGAUGAUUGAUUCAGUGACUUUCGUUCUUCUGAUUGUACUGAAGCCAUCCUUCCUGUCCUGAGAAGA
Hucho hucho (huchen) is the source of this 74-nucleotide small nucleolar RNA. The record is from Ensembl. Lineage: Eukaryota; Metazoa; Chordata; Actinopteri; Salmoniformes; Salmonidae.